This 253-nucleotide ribosomal RNA is filed under the name uncultured bacterium. Its description in RNAcentral is "partial 16S ribosomal RNA". It matches the Rfam family "Bacterial small subunit ribosomal RNA", at positions 524 to 776 of the family's 1533-position model. The record is from RNAcentral.
UACGAAGGGGACUAGCGUUGUUCGGAAUUACUGGGCGUAAAGCGCACGUAGGCGGAUUUGUAAGUCCGCUGUGAAAGUCGGGGGCUCAACCCUCGAAUGCCGGUGGAUACUGUCGGGCUAGAGUGCGGAAGAGGCGAGUGGAAUUCCUGGUGUAGCGGUGAAAUGCGCAGAUAUCAGGAGGAACACCAAUUGCGAAGGCAGCUCGCUGGGACGUUACUGACGCUGAGACGCGAAAGCGUGGGGAGCAAACCGG